UUUCGCACUUUCUCACUUUAGUACCCUGUGGUUUAAAGUGUAUCAAUUUGAUGCCCUGCGGUUUCAUUUUUCUCUUUUUAUUAUCAAUUUUUAUUAUUUUUUUUUCUUAAAUCAGUGAUAAAGUUAAAAUUAAAGAGUACUAAAAUGAAUAUUCGACAAACCUAGGUGGGUAUCUGAAGUUUUUUGUAUAUAAUUUAACGAAAUAUUAACGAAAAAGCUGCCGCAAAGAUAAAAUUGAAACCACAGGGCACCGAAUUGAUAGACUUUAAACCACAGGGUACUAAAGUGAGAAAGUGUGAAACCACAGGGGUUUUUUUUUGAAGUUUUUUCUUUUUUUUGUAAUUUGAAAUGCUUACUAUUUAAUUUAGAAGUUUUAAAUACUGAGUAUUUAUUUUUUUGUUUCAGAAAGCUGACAACAUUUAGUUGAAAUUGUUUGGAUCUGAAUCUGUAAGUUUUUAGUUCAUCAAUUUUUUAGAUAUAUAUGCUUAUUGUAUGCAUGUGUCUGGUAUAAACGUAAAAACAAAAGAAAUUAAUCACUAGAAACUAAUUGUGUGAGACAAUAUUAUACAUAUUAACAAAUAAUAUGAC
This 588-nucleotide long non-coding RNA is filed under the name Ananas comosus (pineapple). RNAcentral's name for it is "long non-coding RNA (ACOM_LNC023238)". Lineage: Eukaryota; Viridiplantae; Streptophyta; Magnoliopsida; Poales; Bromeliaceae. The record is from RNAcentral.